Molecule: long non-coding RNA, 248 nt
Organism: Amphibalanus amphitrite
Lineage: Eukaryota; Metazoa; Arthropoda; Thecostraca; Balanomorpha; Balanidae
Exons: 3
Source: RefSeq, a predicted model, not a curated record
CAAAAAGGGCGGAAGAGGUGGUAUUUCAUCUCAUCGACAUAUUCUGCCUGUUUGGGGCUCCAAACAUCUUGCAGAGCGACAACGGACGCGAGUUUCGCAACAAAGUAAUAAAGCAGUGCACAGCCAUGUGGCCAUCGCUCCAGCUCGUUCGUGGACGACCUCGCCAUUCGCAGUCCCAGGGAUCUGUCGAAAGGGCGAAUCGGCUGGUUCAGGAAAAGCUUCGGUGCUGGCUUGCCGAUAACCCGGAA